AUUGAACGCUGGCGGCAUGCCUAACACAUGCAAGUCGAACGGUAACUGGUAGCAGCUUGCUGCUUUGCUGACGAGUGACGGAGGGGUGUGUCAUGCCUGGGAGCCUGACUGAGGCAGGGGGCUAACUACUGGAAGCUGUAGCUAGUACCCAAUAACUACUCAAGAACAACGAUAGUGACCUUCGGGUCUCUUGGCAUCGGAUGUGUCCAGUUCGGAUUAGCUAGUAGGUGGGGUAACGGCAGACCGAGGCGACGAUCCCUAGCUGAAUUGAGAGGAUGACCAGCCACACUGGGACUGAGACACGGUCCAAACUCCUACGGGAGGCAGCAGUGGGGAAUAUUGCACAAUGGGCGCAAGCCUGAUGCAGCCAUGCCGCGUGUAUGAAGAAGGUCUUCGGGUUGUAAAAUACUUUCGGCGGGGAGGAAGGUAGUAAAGUUAAUACGUUUACUCAUUGACGUUACCCGCAGAAAAAGCACCGGCUAACUCCGUG
Molecule: ribosomal RNA, 490 nt
Filed under: uncultured bacterium
Lineage: Bacteria
Description: partial 16S ribosomal RNA
Rfam family: Bacterial small subunit ribosomal RNA
Source: RNAcentral